Molecule: ribosomal RNA, 700 nt
Filed under: uncultured archaeon
Lineage: Archaea
Description: bacterial SSU rRNA
Rfam family: Archaeal small subunit ribosomal RNA
Source: RNAcentral
GUUCUUCGUGAACAUAGCGAACUGCUCAGUAACACGUGGAUAACCUACCCUUAGGACCGGAAUAACCCCGGGAAACUGGGGAUAAUACCGGAUAAGCCAUAGACGCUGGAAUGCCCUAUGGUUCAAAGCUUCGGCGCCUAAGGAUGGAUCUGCGGUCUAUCAGGUUGUAGUGGGUGUAACGUACCUACUAGCCGACGACGGAUACGGGUUGUGAGAGCAAGAGCCCGGAGAUGGAUUCUGAGACACGAAUCCAGGCCCUACGGGGUGCAGCAGGCGCGAACACUUUACAAUGCGGGAAACCGCGAUAAGGGAACCCCGAGUGCCAGCAUCAAAUGUUGGCUGUCCAGAUGAUUAAAAAUCAUUUGUUAGCAAGGGCCGGGCAAGACCGGUGCCAGCCGCCGCGGUAACACCGGCGGCCCGAGUGGUAGCCGCUAUUAUUGGGUCUAAAGGGUCCGUAGCCGGUUCGAUAAGUCCUCUGGGAAAUCUGGUUGCUUAACAAUCAGACUGCCAAGGGAUACUGUCGAACUUGAGACCGGGAGAGGUAAGAGGUACUUCAGGGGUAGGAGUGAAAUCUUGUAAUCCCUGGGGGACCAUCUGUGGCGAAGGCGUCUUACCAGAACGGGUCUGACGGUGAGGGACGAAAGCUGGGGGCGCAAACCGGAUUAGAUACCCGGGUAGUCCCAGCCGUAAACGAUGCUCG